UAACUCCCAACCCCUGUGACAUACCAAUUGUUGCCUCGGCGGAUCAGCCCGCUCCCGGUAAAACGGGACGGCCCGCCAGAGGACCCCUAAACUCUGUUUCUAUAUGUAACUUCUGAGUAAAACCAUAAAUAAAUCAAAACUUUCAACAACGGAUCUCUUGGUUCUGGCAUCGAUGAAGAACGCAGCAAAAUGCGAUAAGUAAUGUGAAUUGCAGAAUUCAGUGAAUCAUCGAAUCUUUGAACGCACAUUGCGCCCGCCAGUAUUCUGGCGGGCAUGCCUGUUCGAGCGUCAUUUCAACCCUCAAGCCCCCGGGUUUGGUGUUGGGGAUCGGCGAGCCUCACGGCAAGCCGGCCCCGAAAUACAGUGGCGGUCUCGCUGCAGCUUCCAUUGCGUAGUAGUAAAACCCUCGCAACUGGUACGCGGCGCGGCCAAGCCGUUAAACCCCCAACUUCUGAAUGUUGACCUCGGAUCAGGUAGGAAUACCCGCUGAACUUAAGCAUAUCAAUAAGCGGAGGAA
This 517-nucleotide ribosomal RNA is filed under the name Fusarium thapsinum. RNAcentral's name for it is "eukaryotic LSU rRNA". The stretch from base 138 to 291 matches the Rfam family "5.8S ribosomal RNA". Lineage: Eukaryota; Fungi; Ascomycota; Sordariomycetes; Hypocreales; Nectriaceae. The record is from RNAcentral.